RNAcentral lists this long non-coding RNA (2191 nucleotides) under Homo sapiens (human). RNAcentral describes it as "HSALNT0382678". The record is from RNAcentral. Lineage: Eukaryota; Metazoa; Chordata; Mammalia; Primates; Hominidae.
UUUAAACAGCAGGUGAUCAAAUUUAGUGCAUGUUAGUUUGUCAAAGCUGCAUUUUCAAGUUGUAACAGAUUGGUGCCUUAGACUAUGGGAUGGACAUGGACAGAAGAAAAAUCUGAUGGUGAAUAUAAGAAAAGCUGUGAAAAAAGAAAUGGAGAGGAGUGUGGGGAUGGUUAAUUCACAGAGAAGGGAAGCCGGCCUUGCCUGGAGUCAGCAGCCAGGAGUCCAGCAUUCACAUUCUCCCCAGAAGGAACAAAAGGCCACAUGUGCCCUGUUUUGCAGAUGUGCCUUCCCCACGCCUCCAUGGGGGCCUUUGGCCCAGUUCUCAUUGGCAGUGUCACUUCCUGAUACUCAUUUUCCAGAAGCCUCCCAGGUGAUUAGCCAUCAUAUGUCUCCAAGAAAGGAAGUGUUCGGCACAUAAUCUGCCAAUGAUUGCUGAUGACAACACAAGUGUCAGACACUGUGUUAGCAAUGACAAGGACAUGGUCUCUGCCUUCUAGUACGUGAGGAGUCUGGCCUUGAGCCUCACCCUGAGGCUGCAGUGUACUCAAAGUUGUAACAGACCAGGACAGAGGGCUGAGGGUACAGGAGAAAGGGUGCCCAGCCUUGAAGAGUCAGGAGAGACAUCAGUACAGUUAAUACAGGCUCCAUGGAGUGGGGAGGAACAGGAGGGACAGACAGCAGCAGGAAACUCAUCUGGAAAGGUGUGCAAGGGUCAGAGCACAGGCUAGUGGAGAGAGCCAGGAAAAGGCAUGUGGGCCUUGAAAGCAGACGGACCCAGCUCAUCUAAUGACUGGCUGUAAAACCUUAGGCAAAUUACAUCAUUUCUGAAGCUUCAGAGCUUCUUAUAUGUGGAUUGGGAGAAACUAGUUACUCACAAUUCUUCCUUCCCACCCCACCUUUCCCAAGGCCCACUGUAGGCAGAGAAUGCUCCCUAUGCUGUUGCUGAUGGGCUUGGCCCUAUGCCUCAUCUCAGCCAUUGGAAUAUGGGUGGGAGUAAGAUGGGGCAGCUCCAAGCCAAGGCCUUAAGAGCCACCACUUUCUUCCUUCUAGCCCCACUGUGCCUCUGUAUCUGCCAUGAGAAGGGCAUGCCUGGGAGCUGCUGGUCCAAGAACAAGGAGUCAGAGAACAGCCCUGAAAUCAACCCACAGCCUGAUGCAGAGUGGCCCCAACCCACAGACCUAGUUGCAUAAAAGGUUUGGUGGGAAGGAAACUCGAUUCAACAAAGUCAAACAUACCUGAGUGCCUACGAUGCACACGGCGCUGGCCUGGGCAGGACAGUACAGAGGGGUGAGCUAUAGCCGGGGCAGACAGCAACCAACAUCAGCAGGAACAGAGGCUGGCGCCUGUCCCAACACCCGGCGACCCUCAGGCCUUCAGCUGCCGGCUGCAGACAACCUAAAAGGGUUUCUAUCUUUUGAUAGGCCCCACCUACUUACAAAGAACCCUCAGAUGAUUCUGUCAGCCAAGGAAGGGGCCUAACAGUGACUUACACAUCUCUGCAAAGACACUCAUGGAAACUACCAUACUAAUGAACAUAGUCCUUUAUUCAUCAACGUAAACAGAAAACCAAAGAUUGCAAAUAUAUUAGGAAAACCAACAGCAUGGAAGAGAAGAUCCAAGUUGGACCAAUAGAAAAAUUGACCUUGGAGGAAACAGAGAUAAUUUAGGAAAGAAAGAUUUUAUAAAAAUUGUGGUCACUAUCUUCAGAAUAAUUUGAGAAGAUGCUGCAUUCAAGAACUGAGAAGAGGUGGCUAUGGGAAAGGAACAAGCAAAGAACAAGAAAAGAUUCUUGGGAAUUAAAAGUGGGAUUGCAAUAGGGAACACUCAAUAAGUGCGCCAAAUAAUAAAUUGGAUGCAGCGAAAGACCAAGCAGUUGAUCUGGAAUCAAGGAAUCUCAGAAUGUAGAGCAAGAAAAACAAAGAGACAGCAAACAUAAGAGAGUGCCAAGGACAGACACAGAGAUCCAGCAUCUGUCUGAUUAGGAAAGAACAGAGAAAAUGAAAGAGAGAGAAUACCCAAAGAAGUCACAGAACAACAUUUUCUUAAGCUCAAGAAAUAUGUGAGUCUUUAAGACUGAAAGUGUUCACUGAACAAAAUUAAGGUAAAAGGGUUAAACUCUUAGGCAUGGUGGCUCAUGCCUAUAAUCCCAGCACUUUGGGAGGCUAAGGCAGGAGGAUCACUUGAGCCCAGA